CCUCCUUAUACGAUUUAGAACUUAUUUGUUCGUAGUGUCCACACAGAUGAUUGUUAGUUAGUUUUACCCUUUGGGUUUAACUGAUUAAUAUGCUCUUUAAAAAUUUGGAAAAGCUGAUAAUAAAAUUCUGAUAGAUACUUGGUAUUUAUCAAGAGUUUUCAAAAGUAAAAAAGAAUGAUAGCAGUAUCAUUCAGUGCCAAUUUAAUCAUUCAUGAUUAAUUGGUAUCUACUUUAGUAUUCAAUAUUAACUUCUGGCGAAGUUAAACUGUCACUAACAAAGACCCGUUUGGGUUGUAUGGUUAAGUGACUAAAGCGUACACCGGUGGAAUGCCUA
RNAcentral lists this unclassified non-coding RNA (334 nucleotides) under uncultured Pseudoalteromonas sp. RNAcentral describes it as "partial 16S-23S ribosomal RNA intergenic spacer". The record is from RNAcentral. Lineage: Bacteria; Pseudomonadati; Pseudomonadota; Gammaproteobacteria; Alteromonadales; Pseudoalteromonadaceae.